RNAcentral lists this long non-coding RNA (248 nucleotides) under Elaeis guineensis (African oil palm). RNAcentral describes it as "long non-coding RNA (EGUI_LNC043476)". Lineage: Eukaryota; Viridiplantae; Streptophyta; Magnoliopsida; Arecales; Arecaceae. The record is from RNAcentral.
ACCCAGUAGCCUUCUGUUACUGCAUUAGAAAUCCAGAUAGUCCGGCAUCAAAGCACAGUGAGUUGCUUGUAAAUCAUUAUGGUGAUCUUAAAUCUGAAGGAUACUUAUCUUCAUGUAUUUCACGAGUAGCUCUUGACAGCAGAAUGCUCAGCAAGUGAGUCACCUAUUCCAUGAUGAUGUACUCUUAUAUCUCACCUGUAUGCCAUACCAGUGUCACCACACUCCUUAGUUAAGAGGAUAACUAACCC